Long non-coding RNA from Peromyscus eremicus (cactus mouse), 1241 nucleotides. RefSeq lists it as uncharacterized. Lineage: Eukaryota; Metazoa; Chordata; Mammalia; Rodentia; Cricetidae. The transcript is spliced from 6 exons. The record is from RefSeq and is a predicted model, not a curated record.
CCACGCCCAAGCCAAAUAAGGAGUUGUUUAUCCCAGAGAACACCUGCCAUCAGGAAGGCGGAAGCCGGACGCCGGUGCCAUCUUUGAGGCGCGGCCGUGCACGGCUCUCUACAAAUGUGGCCAUGGUGGAAAGAGAAUCAAAUAAAGAGAUUCGGCAACCCACAAGCCAUUUUGGGACUGUUUCUACAAUCUAUAAGGAAAAAUUAAAGAUCAAGAACAGCUGUGACUGGAGAGCUGGCUCAGCAGGAGGAGCACUUACGACUAUUGCAGAGGACCCAGGAUUGGUGUUUUGAUCUCGUUCUGCAAUGGGAGCACAGCGGGGCACCAUCGGACUAGGCAGAGAAGUCUGGUAGAGUUGACUCUUGAAGAAAACAUAAGCAAUAAACAAGUAAAGAGGUAUCUGGAAAUAACGCCGUGUUCAUUAAAUUCUUGUCCACGGAGCAAAUUCAGCUGGCUUUAUUUAUUGGAUGGCUUCUCAGCCAGAAGAUGUCCACAGAAUGCUUACCAGGUCCAGCAGAAAACUCUAUGGUUUAUUCUGGCCAGCUGAACGUGGACUCCACCCUCUGAAUCAAGGUUUAACUCCAUUGGCAGUCUCAGAGCGACAGUACAAACAAAUCUCCCGCAACAGGAAUAUUGUGUUUUGAGAGCUAUAGUGUCCCACGGUCAUGUGCUUCUCUUGGUGCCUCUCAUUCAAGCAUGUCUUCCCUGUUCCCAAACAGCCACCAGCCAGCAGGCAGUUCUUGCUCACCCACCCCCUUGUCUUUAUCAGGUUCAAGUUAGCAUGCAUUUAUGGACCACGUGAUAGGAGCUAAGCAUGGGCCCAGAGAGAACAGUGAGGAUCUGAACUGUACAGAAGGUGCUGGGACGUCACCGUAAUCAAUGCAUAAGAGCAAAUUUCUAUCUGAAGUGUCAUCUGAGCAGAAUUCUAAAGGAUAAACUGGAGUAAGAUAUGCAAAUAAUGGGAAAGAAAACUCCAGUCAAAAAGACGAGCAAUUGGAUAUGACUUUUUAAAAUAUGGAAACUGAUUGAUUUGUUUUUUGAUCUACUUCUUUGUUGUUCCCAAAAGAUGGACUAUGAACAUUUCCUUUUAAUUUCUGGGCAAAUUGAAGAAUCAAGCAGAAGCAAAAGGAACUUCUCAGUUGCUAACAAUUAGAUUCUGAAGCUAAGGGGCUUCCAUGUCUGCUGUGAAAGGACAAGAAGGAUGCCUGGGCAUGUGGAAACUGUAUCAUGGCUGGAGGUCA